AUGGCGCCCGGAGGAGACGGGGAGGGGUAGGCCGCGGGCGGGGGGAGCGGGUCUCGAGCAGGAGAGAACGGGGCCGGCCCUUGGCGGGGGGGUCGCUGGGCUCCGGAGGGGACAGGGCCCGGAGGCCGCGGGCCGCCUCCGGCUGCCGCUCACCGGCGGGGCCGCGCCAGGGCUCCUCAGCGGGCGGGCAGGCCCAGCGCCCCGUCGGGGCUGCAGGGAAGGCUGGCCGUGCAGCAGGGCUGCCGCGGGCUCGGCACACGGCAUGGGCAGCUCUGCCGUGCGCGGUAAGCUGCACGGGGCACAUCCCGGGGGCUCCUAAGGAUGUAAUGCCAUAAAGAGCUCAGCCAGUCCCAGCUAAUUAGGCGUAAAUGAAGGGGAGGAGCCGCUCCCAAAUAAAGCAAGCUUCAAGGA
Long non-coding RNA from Aquila chrysaetos chrysaetos, 411 nucleotides. RefSeq lists it as uncharacterized. The record is from RefSeq and is a predicted model, not a curated record. The transcript is spliced from 2 exons. Lineage: Eukaryota; Metazoa; Chordata; Aves; Accipitriformes; Accipitridae.